UUGACCUCGGAUCAGGUACGA
RNAcentral lists this ribosomal RNA (21 nucleotides) under Pleosporales sp. r297. RNAcentral describes it as "partial 28S ribosomal RNA". Lineage: Eukaryota; Fungi; Ascomycota; Dothideomycetes; Pleosporales. The record is from RNAcentral.